AUGUCUCGGGGAGCCGCCAUCUCACACAUCCCGCCUUCCUGCCCAACCGCCGGCAGGUCAAGGUCAUGGACUGCUGUAACGGCCUCCUUCUCUGCUCCUCAUACGAUCGCCGGCGACCAUGGCGACGUGUUCCGGUACAUUGUGUGCAAUCCCGCCACAGAGGAAUGGGCUGAGUUCCCGUACUGCGGCUAUUCCGGCCUGGUGGCUAAUGCACGCUUGUGUUUUGAUCCAGCCGUGUCCCCUCAUUUCCAUGUGUUUUUGUUGCCGGUGGCGGAUAUCUGCAUUACCGGAGUGCAUGUCUAUUCAUCUGAAACCGGGAGUUGGGUUCAUAAGGAGAAGAGAUGGAGCGUCACUAUUAAUGUCGCUAAUGAUCGGUCAACUGUUUAUCUUAAUGGUUAUCUGCAUUUCUGCGCCAUUGUUGAUGGUUCUGACGGUCGUCUAGCUGCAGUGGACAAGGAGUGGGGAGCAAGGACUAACUUCCGUGUUCCUGAUGGUCUGGAUGUUGGUUUUAUUCAGCUGUCACAGGGCUGCCUGCAUUAUGCUGGUUUUGACACAGAUGAUGAUAAUGUUGUUCGACUGCUAGUUUAUGUUCUUAAAGACUAUGACAGCAAAGAAUGGAUACUGAAGCAUAGCGUCGAAACUUCGCAUUUGCUUGGAGGGCGACACAUAGAAUACCUUGAUGAGGACUUCGAUUGGAUUGCAAUUCAUCCAGAAUGUGACUUGAUCUUCUUCGCUGUGGCCCAGGAGGAUAUCACAUUCAUGUGCUAUGAUAUGGAUAGUGGACAAGUUAAAGUGAUGUGCAAUCUUGAAGAUAGCAACCAGGCAUAUUUUCUGUAUGUGCCACUAUAUGAAGAGUUACAAUCGUUGCACAAGUGA
Molecule: ribosomal RNA, 876 nt
Filed under: Triticum aestivum (bread wheat)
Lineage: Eukaryota; Viridiplantae; Streptophyta; Magnoliopsida; Poales; Poaceae
Description: partial small subunit ribosomal RNA
Source: RNAcentral